GACGAAGGAUGCAAGCGUUAUCCGGAUUCAUUGGGUUUAAAGGGAGCGUAGGUGGCCUUAUAAGUCAGUGGUGAAAUCUCGAGGCUUAACCUCGAAAUUGCCAUUGAUACCGUAGGGCUUGAGUAUAGUUGCCGUUGGCGGAAUAUGACAUGUAGUGGUGAAAUACAUAGAGAUGUCAUAGAACACCGAUUGCGAAGGCAGCUAACGAAACUAUAACUGACACUGAGGCUCGAAAGUGCGGGGAUCAAACAGG
RNAcentral lists this ribosomal RNA (253 nucleotides) under uncultured bacterium. Its description in RNAcentral is "partial 16S ribosomal RNA". It matches the Rfam family "Bacterial small subunit ribosomal RNA", at positions 524 to 776 of the family's 1533-position model. The record is from RNAcentral.